UUAAGCGACUAAGCGUACACGGUGGAUGCCCUGGCAGUCAGAGGCGAUGAAGGACGUGCUAAUCUGCGAUAAGCGUCGGUAAGGUGAUAUGAACCGUUAUAACCGGCGAUUUCCGAAUGGGGAAACCCAGUGUGAUUCGUCACACUAUCAUUAACUGAAUCCAUAGGUUAAUGAGGCGAACCGGGGGAACUGAAACAUCUAAGUACCCCGAGGAAAAGAAAUCAACCGAGAUUCCCCCAGUAGCGGCGAGCGAACGGGGAGCAGCCCAGAGCCUGAAUCAGUGUGUGUGUUAGUGGAAGCGUCUGGAAAGGCGUGCGAUACAGGGUGACAGCCCCGUACACAAAAAUGCACAUACUGUGAGCUCGAUGAGUAGGGCGGGACACGUGGUAUCCUGUCUGAAUAUGGGGGGACCAUCCUCCAAGGCUAAAUACUCCUGACUGACCGAUAGUGAACCAGUACCGUGAGGGAAAGGCGAAAAGAACCCCGGCGAGGGGAGUGAAAAAGAACCUGAAACCGUGUACGUACAAGCAGUGGGAGCACGCUUAGGCGUGUGACUGCGUACCUUUUGUAUAAUGGGUCAGCGACUUAUAUUCUGUAGCAAGGUUAACCGAAUAGGGGAGCCGAAGGGAAACCGAGUCUUAACUGGGCGUUAAGUUGCAGGGUAUAGACCCGAAACCCGGUGAUCUAGCCAUGGGCAGGUUGAAGGUUGGGUAACACUAACUGGAGGACCGAACCGACUAAUGUUGAAAAAUUAGCGGAUGACUUGUGGCUGGGGGUGAAAGGCCAAUCAAACCGGGAGAUAGCUGGUUCUCCCCGAAAGCUAUUUAGGUAGCGCCUCGUGAAUUCAUCUCCGGGGGUAGAGCACUGUUUCGGCAAGGGGGUCAUCCCGACUUACCAACCCGAUGCAAACUGCGAAUACCGGAGAAUGUUAUCACGGGAGACACACGGCGGGUGCUAACGUCCGUCGUGAAGAGGGAAACAACCCAGACCGCCAGCUAAGGUCCCAAAGUCAUGGUUAAGUGGGAAACGAUGUGGGAAGGCCCAGACAGCCAGGAUGUUGGCUUAGAAGCAGCCAUCAUUUAAAGAAAGCGUAAUAGCUCACUGGUCGAGUCGGCCUGCGCGGAAGAUGUAACGGGGCUAAACCAUGCACCGAAGCUGCGGCAGCGACGCUUAUGCGUUGUUGGGUAGGGGAGCGUUCUGUAAGCCUGUGAAGGUGUGCUGUGAGGUAUGCUGGAGGUAUCAGAAGUGCGAAUGCUGACAUAAGUAACGAUAAAGCGGGUGAAAAGCCCGCUCGCCGGAAGACCAAGGGUUCCUGUCCAACGUUAAUCGGGGCAGGGUGAGUCGACCCCUAAGGCGAGGCCGAAAGGCGUAGUCGAUGGGAAACAGGUUAAUAUUCCUGUACUUGGUGUUACUGCGAAGGGGGGACGGAGAAGGCUAUGUUGGCCGGGCGACGGUUGUCCCGGUUUAAGCGUGUAGGCUGGUUUUCCAGGCAAAUCCGGAAAAUCAAGGCCGAGGCGUGAUGACGAGGCACUACGGUGCUGAAGCAACAAAUGCCCUGCUUCCAGGAAAAGCCUCUAAGCAUCAGGUAACAUCAAAUCGUACCCCAAACCGACACAGGUGGUCAGGUAGAGAAUACCAAGGCGCUUGAGAGAACUCGGGUGAAGGAACUAGGCAAAAUGGUGCCGUAACUUCGGGAGAAGGCACGCUGAUACGUAGGUGAAGCGACUUGCUCGUGGAGCUGAAAUCAGUCGAAGAUACCAGCUGGCUGCAACUGUUUAUUAAAAACACAGCACUGUGCAAACACGAAAGUGGACGUAUACGGUGUGACGCCUGCCCGGUGCCGGAAGGUUAAUUGAUGGGGUUAGCGCAAGCGAAGCUCUUGAUCGAAGCCCGGUAAACGGCGGCCGUAACUAUAACGGUCCUAAGGUAGCGAAAUUCCUUGUCGGGUAAGUUCCGACCUGCACGAAUGGCGUAAUGAUGGCCAGGCUGUCUCCACCCGAGACUCAGUGAAAUUGAACUCGCUGUGAAGAUGCAGUGUACCCGCGGCAAGACGGAAAGACCCGUGAACCUUUACUAUAGCUUGACACUGAACAUUGAGCCUUGAUGUGUAGGAUAGGUGGGAGGCUUUGAAGUGUGGACGCCAGUCUGCAUGGAGCCGACCUUGAAAUACCACCCUUUAAUGUUUGAUGUUCUAACGUGGACCCGUGAUCCGGGUUGCGGACAGUGUCUGGUGGGUAGUUUGACUGGGGCGGUCUCCUCCUAAAGAGUAACGGAGGAGCACGAAGGUUGGCUAAUCCUGGUCGGACAUCAGGAGGUUAGUGCAAUGGCAUAAGCCAGCUUGACUGCGAGCGUGACGGCGCGAGCAGGUGCGAAAGCAGGUCAUAGUGAUCCGGUGGUUCUGAAUGGAAGGGCCAUCGCUCAACGGAUAAAAGGUACUCCGGGGAUAACAGGCUGAUACCGCCCAAGAGUUCAUAUCGACGGCGGUGUUUGGCACCUCGAUGUCGGCUCAUCACAUCCUGGGGCUGAAGUAGGUCCCAAGGGUAUGGCUGUUCGCCAUUUAAAGUGGUACGCGAGCUGGGUUUAGAACGUCGUGAGACAGUUCGGUCCCUAUCUGCCGUGGGCGCUGGAGAACUGAGGGGGGCUGCUCCUAGUACGAGAGGACCGGAGUGGACGCAUCACUGGUGUUCGGGUUGUCAUGCCAAUGGCACUGCCCGGUAGCUAAAUGCGGAAGAGAUAAGUGCUGAAAGCAUCUAAGCACGAAACUUGCCCCGAGAUGAGUUCUCCCUGACCCUUUAAGGGUCCUGAAGGAACGUUGAAGACGACGACGUUGAUAGGCCGGGUGUGUAAGCGCAGCGAUGCGUUGAGCUAACCGGUACUAAUGAACCGUGAGGCUUAACCUU
This 2900-nucleotide ribosomal RNA is filed under the name Shigella boydii. RNAcentral's name for it is "bacterial LSU rRNA". It matches the Rfam family "Bacterial large subunit ribosomal RNA". Lineage: Bacteria; Pseudomonadati; Pseudomonadota; Gammaproteobacteria; Enterobacterales; Enterobacteriaceae. The record is from RNAcentral.